RNAcentral lists this long non-coding RNA (1531 nucleotides) under Malus domestica (apple). RNAcentral describes it as "long non-coding RNA (MDOM_LNC001166)". Lineage: Eukaryota; Viridiplantae; Streptophyta; Magnoliopsida; Rosales; Rosaceae. The record is from RNAcentral.
AAGAAGCGCUUAUUUUUACAUUUACCAAACGCAUUUUACACUCCAACUUUUUUUCAUAGCUUUUUUUUUUUUUUUUAUAAUUUCAGCUGUGCCAAACUGGUACUUAUACAUGCAUCGAAAUAAUAUCAGUCUCAACUUUCAUUUUAAGAUGGGAUAGUUAGAGCUGGAUUGCAUGCGUACGUUCAAAAAGGAAAUUACUUUCGUUAACCUCAUCUUCUCAACUAUUUGAUUAAAUUGGACCUCAGUGCUGAUUUCAUGAUUUCCCAGCAAUUGGUGAGUUUUACAUGGCCAUAUUACUAUAUAAUUUCAGCUAUUACGACCAAGAUGUUAUAAACAUUCCUUUGCAAAUAUCAUGUUUGACACAAAAACAAAAUACUUGAUCAACCAAAAAUCAAAUUCAAUAUUCCUCAUGCGAUGUAGUUGUUAUGUGUGAUAGAAUAUAAGGUUGAGAUGUUGCCAUCUGUCGUAAAACUAGUGUAUGUUGUAUGUUGAAAAGAAUGUCUCUGUUGUAAAAGGAUGUGCUAGUUCGUUGGCAACAGAAUCUGUCAUCUUCACAAAGAAAUCAUGCACGAAGGUCAUCAUCAAGUCGAUUGAAACCCUUAACUUCUGCACUAAGAUGUCCAUGGCGAAGCCAAGUUGGAUAAGAAAUAGAAAACAAUCGAGAACUUCCAUUUCUCUUAUUACUUUCUCCCACUAAAUUUUCUUACCUUGAUCAAUCUAUGCUUGUUAUCAAUAUGCUUGAACUAAAGUUAUUUCAUUCACAAUCUCAUCUUUCUUUUGUAAUGUUGUCACUAAUUAUUUGUGACCCCCAAUUAAUAUAGAACACCGUAACAUAAUGUGAGUUCCAAUCAUGUAUCACUUGAAUUUGUUUAGCACUUGUGCUCCUGCCGCUAUGAUCAUCGUAAUGAAUACUAAUCUUUCCGAAAGAGAAGAGGUAACGCAUGCUACAACGAACAUAAUAGCCCGCUGAGGAACCCUAACUAGUCAUGACUCAAGAUUGGAAGGUAACAACUGAAUGUCCAUCGACCAAACUAUAUUAUAGAAAACCAUCUCUCCUUCUUUUUUUUCCUCCUGAAGCGUGUAUUUUUCUUAAAUUCAAAAUGUCUUUAAUUCUUUGGAUCUAUGCCUUUGAAGUUUGAACAAUCCAUAAACUAGUGUUGUCGUGCCUCAGCCCACAUUGUACCGAAAAGCAUAGAGCCCACACAAAACCCAAUAAUUAAGUCUUCGGAUGAAAGGCCUAAUUCUUCAGUAAAGGUCCAAUAAGUGGUCUAAUUAUCAUAAAGCAAAUAUCCUUUCCACCCACAGCUGCUAGUUUUAUGCAUAUAAGCCUAGAGGGUACAAUGGAUUAUGAAUGGCACCUCGACUUACAUAUAACGGUAACGCCAGAGUGACGGCAACUUUUGUUGCUUUGUUCUUCAAGUUAAACUAACGUCGUAGUAAAGUCAGCAAUUAAGCGUUUUUUCCGAAGGAAACUUCAACCAAGGGAUUACAUAUAAUACAGGUCCCAAAGGCAGUUUAGCUUAUAGUACUU